GUGGUUGUGGCUCAGUAGUAGAGCAUUUGCCUUGCACCCAUGAGGCAUUGGGUUUGAUCCUCAGCACCACA
Non-coding RNA from Ictidomys tridecemlineatus (thirteen-lined ground squirrel), 71 nucleotides. The record is from Rfam. NCBI's taxonomy places the organism in Eukaryota, Metazoa, Chordata, Mammalia, Rodentia, Sciuridae.